AGUUGUGGCCGCGACUGCCCGGGAGUGGCGCUUGCCGCGGUCCGGGCUUGCACCCCGCUGGGCAAAGUACCCGGGGCUGUCACACGGCGAGCUGAGCCCUGGGCCGGCGGGUGAGGUUCCCCAAGCGGCGAUGCCCCUGGCUCCCUGUUCCGCCAUUGCGAGCCGUUAGGGCCAAGCUGGAGGGAGGGCGGCGAGGCGCGGCUGCCGGUAGGGCGGGGCCCUGGGCUGCUGGCGGGGCGGAGGCCGGAGGCGGCCUUGGGCGGGUGGCUUCUCUGGGUCCCACGGUUCCUGCCCAGGCUCUUCGAACCAGGACCAGUGCGGGUAAUGUGAAUUGACACUUGUUCCGGUUCAGGGCUGCCCCACCCCUGGUUGCCCCAAACCCUGCGGCCUGGUGGGCUUGGGCAAGUGGGCUGGAGUAGCGCUCUGUUAGGAAACGAGUAUGCGAGGGAGGGAGGGUGGGUGUGGUCGAAAUGCCCAAGCCUCGUUUCAAAAAUGAAGACGCAUGACCUUAAAAUUAUUUCUGGAGAAGAAUGCUUGCGCGAGAGGUGUGGGGGGGGGGGCGGGGAGCGGGAUGGAGGGAGGAGUAUAGAGUCUGUUAAAAAUCUGAUAGACACGGACUUGUUAUUUAUUCCGGAAAUAUCUAACGAGGCCCACCAGGUUCAAGGCACUGGGGAAGGACCAGGGUCGUGCAUUUGAAAAGCUUACCUUAGUGGAAUAGACUGGCUGAAGCAAACAAACAAGGUAAUGACAGGUGUAGUAUGGCUUUGCAGGAAACACACAGAGUGAUGAAAAAGAUUUUGUAGACGAAGCCUCUGGCUGGAUAGGAUGGCUAAAAAAGACCUCUAGGAGGAAGUGAUAGUUGAGGAGCCUCCUGACAAAAAAGGCACGAAAUACACCUAACCACGACUUUACAUACAGGGACUGCAGAUUCCAGAACCCCCUGAAUAAGCCCACUAAUUCCAUGUUGAGCACCUGUCUCUAAAGCCUUCUAAGGGCUGUUUCUGUGCUGCCCACUUCCCCUGCAAUUUCAGAAGGCUUGAUCACCCUUACAGUUUAUGGGGGCUGGCACUGUGGCACUAAUGGGGGAGGUUCGAGAGACAGGGAGAAUUAUACCCAUCAGCUUUGAGAGACAAAUUCUUUACCUUUUCACUGUUUCUAUGUCACUAUAUUUCUCAGAGUCAUGAGUAAACAUUAAAACUAUGAUUUUUACGUUGGCAUGUUGUGAUCUGAAUAAAAUGAUUAAUGACAUCUUUUGCCAAAUUUGUUGAAGACAAAGUGAGAGGAUCUAUUCAGAUGCAGUACCUGAAUAAUACCAAAAACCCAACACGUAUUAAAUAUUAACGACAUAAUUAAUAGAUUGUCUGGAUAAUACAUUAGAUUCUCUUGCCCUUUUAAUUUUUCUCCUUAGCCACUUGUUUUGAUUCAUGCAAACCAGCAGAAAUAUUUUGCAUUGUGUUUCUGGGAAAAGGGACUGGGAGGUAGCUAACACUUAAUCACCUUCUAUUUACACAGCAUUGUGCUUCCAGUAUUAGGACUAACCUUGAGAUAUGGGUAUCAUUAUACCCACUUUAGUAACAAAGACAUUGAGAUUCAGAGAGAUUGUGACAUACCUAAGGUAGCAAAACUAGUAGCUGGAAGAGCCAAAAUUUGAACUCAGAUCUCUCUGGCCCUACUAAAUGCAUCACCAUAAAUUAUUUCAUGGGCAAUCUUUCCCUGCACCUUAAUUGAUUUAUUUCUGCCAAAUGUAUGUGUUCCUAGAUCUUUAUGGAAUAUUCUGACAUGGGAAUGCCCCCAGGUCUGUGAGGACUGGCUUCUCUGGGGUUGUAUCAAUAGAUGAAGGAAAAUUUUGCAGUUGUUUAUACAGUUUGGGGGGUUGAGGUGGUACAAUUUGUACAUUUUUGUUCCUUUCAUAGCAAAUUCUUCAGUUUUCUUUGAUGAGGCCAAGCAAUAAAUUUUUUCCUUUCUUAAGAGCAAAUACUUAUUUUUGUGGUUUUCACAAAAGUUGUCUUUCACAAACACGGUAAUACUGUGUUUCACACUGCACAUCUCUAAGAUGUGAAAGAUCAUUAGUUCAAACAUUAAAAGUAGGAUACCACUUUUGAAAGCCUAAUAUUUGUAUUGGUAAAGUGUGUCUGGUCCAGGCACAAUGGCUCACACCUGUAAUCCCACUACUUUGGGAUGCCAAGACAGGUGAAUUGCAUAAGCUUAGGAGUUCAUGACCAGCCUGGGGAACAUGGUGAAACCUUGUCUCUACAGAAAAUUAGCUGGGCAUGGUGGCAUGUGCCUGUUAGUCUCAGCUACUUGGGAGACCCAGGUGGGAGGAUUGCUUGGGCCCAGGAGGUCAAGGCUGCAGUAAGAUGUGAUCGUACCACUGUCCUCCAGCCUGCAUGACAGAGCAGGACCCUGUCUCCAAAAAAAAAAGUGUGUCUGUGUGUGUGUUAGAAACAUUUUUCUAAUUUUAUUUAACUCCUUACAAGCCUAUGGAAACCUGGCAAUGUAAUUGUCUUUUACUGUGUAUAUUUGUUUUAAGUUCUCCUUCUAAGAAUUCCUAUCUAGAUUUAUUUUUUCAUGUUGUUAUUUUUUUCUUUUUUACUUUUUAUUUGGAUAUAAUUAUUAAAAAGUUGCAAAAAUAGUAUAGCGGGCAUGUGUAGUAUUUGCCCAGUUUACCCUAUUGAUAUCUUACAUAUCUAUAAUACCUUAUUAAAACCAGGAAAUUGACAUACUACAGUCUUUAGGUUUUUAAUUUAUUUUUAUGUUUCAUAUCAAAAAGUUUCCAUUUUGCAGUAAUUCAUUUUUAUUAUAUUUGACUUGGCCCUUCCUCUCCUAAAUUAGCAAAUGUUAAUAAGCUUGUCCUAGUGCUCAUCUUGAAUUACAAGUUUAUUUUUAAAAUUAUCUGGGUCAACACAAUUGAAAGUGAUUUAUUUGUAAGGUGGUUGCUUUCUCUGGUCAUACUGUUCCAUGUCAUCCUGCCCUAAUAAACCUGCAACAUUAUACAACUUGUGUGUGUAUAUUUUAACACAUCUUCUGACCACUGCAGUUUUUUCACAGAUUGUUAUCAAAGGAAAACAGAGGAAUACAAGACUCGUCAUUUGACUGGAUUUUUUAAAAAAGUUUCUAAACAUCUAACUGUCAAAACAAGAAUACUGGGUGGGCAUGGUGGCUAACGCCUUGUAAUCCAGCACUUUGAGGGGCCAAGGUGGGCAGAUACCUUGAGCAAGAGUUCUAGACCAACCUGGGCAACAUGGUGAAAUCCUGUCUCUACAAAAAAAAAAAAAUAUAGCUGGUUGUGGUGGUCCACACCUGUAGUCCCAGCUACUCCAGAGGCUGAGGUGGGUGGAGCACUUGAGUCCUGGAGGUCAAAGCUGCAGUGAGCCAUGACUACACCACUGCAAGCCAGCCUGGGUGACAGAGCAAGAUCCUACCUCAAAAAAAAAAAAAAAAAAAAAAAAAAAGAAUGCUGUGGUUUGUUGGUUAGUGUGCAAAAUCUCACUUAUGGCUAAUUCUGGUUCUACAUGGAUUCUCCUACCCAGGGCACUCACCCUUUACUCCACCAGAGAAUAAACAGGGAAAAAAUGAAGGCUAAAUUACUUUGUUCAAUCUUAGUCUUGAGGAAAGGUUGAUGAAAGGGGAAAAUUUGGGACUUUGUGUAGGUAUCAAUUAUGUUAUGAGCACCUAAUCACUGAUUAUCAAGUGACGGUUUUUCUGCAUUAUGUACUUACUAUAAAUGAGUAAAAAACAUCCUUCAUAUUAUAGCUUAUUUAACAAACUAUUAUUUAUCUGCUGUGUAUCAGCAGAUAAAUCAAGCACCCAAUUAGGUACUUGACACAGGGACAAAACAAUCUCUGCUCUUAAGGAGCUAGAAUUCCAGAGUUUCUGUUGAUAUAUAUUUUUUUAAUGUUAAGCUCUCACUAUGUGCUAGAUAAUUUGCAAAUGCUAGACAUCCGACGGGAAGCAAAAACAAAAAUGUUUCUUUUUCUUAUGAAACUGGUAAGUUAGACAAUCUCACAAAAGUACCUUUAAAAUCUAACAGGUAUUACAAAGGGUAGGUAUGUGCUGCCAUGAGGGCAUAAAAGCAUUGGGACUUGACCUAACCUGAGGUAUCAGAAAUGCCUUCUCCUGGGAAUAGAUGUUUCAAGCCGAGAUUUAAAAGUGCCUCAGAGUAUAAACUACAUGCAGAGGUGGGGGAAAGCAAGAAAGCACAAAUAGACCUCAUGAUAGAAGCAACAGAGUCCCAGGGACUGAAAUGAGAGAAUGUGAGAUGAGUCUGGAGAGUUAAGGGUCCACCAUUCAGGGUCUUAGAGGCUGUGGUAAAGAUUCUAAUCUUUGUUCCGAAAUCUGCAAACCAAUCGAGUUUUUAGUGAGAGCAACAUGAUCAGAUUUGUAUUUUCAAAAGACCACUCUGACUUCAAUGUUAAGAAUUCAUUCAUGCAUAGUGUCAUGCACCUGUGGUCCCAGCUACUCGGGAGGCUGAGGCACAAGAAUCGCUUGAACCGGGGAGGCGUAGGCUGCAGUGAGUCGAGAUCAUGGCACUGCACUCCAGCCUGGGCCACAGAGUAAGACUUUGCUUCAAAAAAGAAAAAUUUUUUAAAAAGAAUUCAUUUUUGGCCAGGUGUGGUAGCUCACAACUGUAAGCCCAGCACUUUGGGAGGCCAAGGUGAGAGGAUUGCUUGCGCCCAGGAGUUUGAGACCAGCCUAAGCAAUAUAGUGGGACCCCAUCUCUACAAAAUAUAAAAAAAUGAAAACAUUAGCCAAGUGUGGUGGUGCGCACCUGUAGUCUCAGCUACUCAUUCUUUAAAUAAAUGCAUCCUGAAGGCCUGCUAUAGACCAAAUCCUACUCUGCACACAGAGCACACGGCAGUGGACAACAGACAAAUUCCCUAUCUGUGAGGAUCUUACAUACAAUAUACAAAUCAUAAAUAAGAUAAUAGUGCUGUAAGAAUAUUGGAACAGGGUGAGAAUGAAAGGGUAGGGUGGAGUUGCUAUUUUAUAAGCUUGAAUCCUAUGAAAUUACUGAUUUUUAAAAAUAAUUUUUGACCUGAGAAUGACAUUACACCUUAGGUUUGAAUGGUUCAAUCCAGUUGUGUGACAUUAGGGUCAUAUGGUUCAACUUAAUACUUGGAAGAGUCAGAACUAAUGAGGUGAUCGAAAGAAAGAGAAGCAAGCCAUGUAAAUACCUGGGAGAAGAGCAUUUGAAGCAAAGGAACAGCAAGUGCAAAGGCCCUAAAACAAAAAUGUGCCUGCCAUGUUUAAGGAGCAGUAACAAGGCUGAAGAGUAAAGGACAAGUGGGAAGAAUGGUAACAGAGGCCAGAUCAUACUGGUGACCAUGGUAACAAAUUGGCUUUUCUCCUUUUUUUUUUCCCCCUUAAGACAGGGUCUCACUUUGUCACUCAGGCUGGAGUGCAAUGGCGUGCUCAUAGCUCACUGCAGUCCUGAACUUCUGGGCUCAAGUGAUCUUCCUGCCUUAGCUUCCUUAGUAACUGGGACUACAGGCAUCCAGCACCACGCCCAGCUAAGUUUUUUUUUUUAAGAGAUGGUAUUUCAUUAUGUUGCCCAGGCUGGUCUUAAACUCCCGCCCGCAAGUGAUCCUCCCACCUCAGCCUCCUAAAGUCUUCCAAAAUGCUGGGAUUACAGACGUGAGCUAUCACGCCCAGCCUGGUUUUUCCUCUUUGAGUAAGCUAAGCCGUGGGAGGGUUUUGAGCAGAGGAACUACACAUCUGCCAUUAUUUAAAGGAGUAUUCUGUUAAUGGUAGAAUAUAAGUGGUGGAUGCAGAAGUGAUUGCUGUAAAAUUCUUUCAACUUUGCUGUGUGUUUGAAAUUUUUCCUAAUAAAAUAAUAGUUUAAACUGGUUAUUGUGAAUAGACUUUAGGGGAGCAAAGGUGAGAGCAGGAAGACCAGUUAGGCUAUAACAAUAAUUCAGGUAGCAGUGGAAGUGGUAGGAAGUGGUUGGGAGCAGAUGUGGUGUUUGAAUUACAAGUCAGUAAUUCAGAGGAAAUACCAGGUAGGAAAUACAAAUGUAUGAAUCCACCUAAAGAUUAGGAAAACAAGGACAAAUGUCUUGAGAAUUAAAAGAAAAUGCUCAGAAGUGUACCCUAAAGCCUCUUACUCAUGCUUUUGUUCUAGGCUGGUUUUGGUUGUAGAUAGUUAUCAGUUAUUAUAUACUGCCAUUCAGAUUAUUUAUAUGUAUUACUGUCCACAACUCACUUGUGUUCUAAAGGGUUUUUUUUAAUAAUGUUCUUGUCUUCCCAAGCAGAUUACAUGCUUUUUGAGAAAAGAUCUAUUUUUUUGUAUACACCCCGCAAUGCCAUAUUCCUAGAAGGCAUUUUCAAUGUUCACAGAAUAAAAAUAUUUGAAUACAGAGCUUUUCAUGUCUUUUGUUUUUAUAAAACAUCAAUUUUCUUAUAAAUGUUUAAUUUAGACACUUCUGAAAAUGAAGGUAGAGUUAGAAUUUUCAAUCUGUUGCAACUUAUGCCCAUUUCAGGUCAGACAAAUAAAGAGAGAGCCUUCUGGGGGGUAAAAAAAAAAAAAAAAAAAGGCCCAGGUUUGUGCCUGUAGUAGUAAUGUCAGCUACCUCAGGAAGCUUGAGCCCAGGAGUCCAAGGCUUAUAUGGCACCACAAUUGUGCCUGUGAAUAGCCACUGCACUCCAGCCUGGGCAACACAGCAAGAUCCUGUUUCUUUUAAAAACAAAACAAAACAAAAAAAACCCCAAUCAGCUUUUCUCCAUAUUGGCUUAUACUCAGACUUCAUCAUGUGGCAACAAGACAGUUCUCAAAAACUUUAGUUCUAUAUUCACUCCAGUCCAAGUCCAGCAAGAGAUCCCUUCCAGUAGCUCCUAGAUUCACUGAACCAAUUACCUUGCUACAGUAAUUUGUUAAAGGAUAGAGAGUUACCUUCCCAUCCUUUAACAAAUUACUGUAGCAAGGAAAACUCUUGUGCUAUGAUUAGCCAAAUUUGAGUCAUAUGCUUUACCUCUGGUCCACCCAAAGAUCAUGGACUAUAGGAGAGGAGUGGUUCCCGGAAGAACAAAAUGGAGUACUGUCACCAAAAUAUAGAAAUGGAUACUGAUGGUGAAAACACAAUGCUUACUACACCAACUAACUCAAAGGCCUAUGCAUUGUUUCUUCCUUAAGCUUUUGAAAGAAGUUAGUCACUGCCAUGGCACUCACUUUGAAUCUCUUCCAAUUCCACACACAAUACUGCAUUUUUUCCCCUGAAUCAUCAGGCAGUCAUAUAUUCAGUUGCCAUUGAAAAGUAAAUGCAUGAUUAUGAAAGUUAACCAGCUGGAAGGGUCAGUAUUUCAGUACAUCACUUUUCAGGACACUCCCAACUGGUAUUGCAGGUAGUUUCUUGUCCUUAAAAUUCUUUCCUGUUGUCAAGCUACCUGAAACGUAUUUGUCCUCGAUACCCUAGGGGCAGGGUGGCUGAUAACUAAGGUGCCUGGGAAACACUUCAGAAGCAAGUGACAAUGAAUUGGCUUAAGAAGCCAAUUCAUCUUUUAGAUGGAUAUUUAUACUGUAGAAUCUUGAAAGGAAAAUUUAUCUACAGAUAUGUCUGUUUUCAGUUUCUUUUCCUUUUUGCACUAACAAGUUAUUUUCCCCACAUGACGUUUAAUCUACCUUACAAAACAUUUUUAACAUUUUAGUUCAAAAUUUGCUUCAGAAAAUGGAUGACUUUGGUGUGAAACGAUUGUUGACUCUAUUAUUCUAGAAUUUGGGAUGGCGCCUCUAGUUUGCUGCUUCCUUGGACACCAAACAUAACAUUCUCUGUUCUAGGACGUGCUUCAAGUCGGUCAUGAGACUGGCAGAAAAUCAAACCAAACUAAAUGAAUGGUUGUUGAAGUUAAUCUCCCAUCCUGGAGCUGUGCAUGCCAUGGAGUAGCCAGCUUUUAACAGGCACAAUCCUGAUCAAAAUCACUGCUCUGUGGUCCUGCUCAUCAGAAUAUUAUGGAAACUAGAUUUAGGCCUGGUUUCCUUAAAAAUAGAUGUGAUAAUGAAAUAAUCAUGUAUUAUAGCCAUUACAAUUUCUAUUGUAGGAGAAAGUGGAUAAUGUUUUAACGUAAAACAGUAGGUUACUAAACAAUAUGUUCUAGAUGAACAUUUAACAUUUUUGUUUUAAUUAGCCAGGCAUGUGUGAUGACCUACGCCUGUAGUCCUAGCUACUCAGGAGGCUGAGACGGCAGGAUUUGCUUGAGCCCAGGAUUUCAAGGUUACAGUGAGCUUUGAUCACAUCACUGCACUCCAGCCUGGGUGACAGAGCAAGACCCCGUCUCACAAAUAAUAAUACAAAUACAGAAAAAAUACUAGAAAACACACCCAAAUGUUAAGUUUAAGGAAUGGAACUAUCAGUUAUUUUAUUUUAUUUUUAUUUUCAAAAAUACUCAAACGUGAAAUAUACCACAUCUGCGGCCGGGCACGGUGGCUCACGCCUGUAAUCCCAGCACUUUCGGAGACUGAGCCGGGCAGAUCACCCAAGUUAAGGAGUUUGAGACUAGCCUGGCCAACAUGGUGAAACGCCGUUUCUACUAAAAAUACAAAAUUAGCCAGGCGUAGUGGUGCACGCCGGUAAUCCCAGCUACUUGGGAGGCUGAGACAGGAGAAUCAUUUGAACCAAGGAGGCAGAGGUUGCAGUGAGCCGAGAUCGAGCCAUUGUACUCCAGCCUGGGCGACAAGAACGAAAGUCUGUCUCCAAAAAAAAAAAAAAUUGUCUGUUACUGCUAUGGUCUGAAUGUUGUGUCCUGCCAAAACUCAUAUGUUGAACUCCUAACCCCCAAGGUGAUGGUAUUAGAAGGUGGGGCCUUCCUGAGGUGAUUAGGCCAUGACAGCAGAGCACUCAUGAACAGGAUUAGUGCCCUUAUAAAACAGGCCUAAGAGACACCCCUCCCUGGUCCAUAAUGUGAUAGUAGAAUGAGAAAACAGCUGUCUAUGAGGAAGCAGAUCCUCACCAGACACUGAAUCUGCUGGCACCUUGAUCUUGGCCUUCUCAGCCUUCAGAAUUUUGAGAAAUAAAUUUCAGUUGUUUAUAAGCCACAAAAGCUAUAUUUUGUUAUAGCAGUCCAAAUGGACUAAGACAAAUACCAAUAUGACAGAAUCAAAAUAAAAAACUAAAAAUUAAAUCUAGGCUGGGCUGUAAUCCUGUAAUUCCAAUGAUUUGGGAGGCCAAAGUGGGAGGAUCACUUGAACCCAGGAAUUUGAGAUCAGCCUGGGCAACAUAAGGAGACCUCGUUUUUACAAAAAAAUGUUUAAAAAUUAUGCGCGUAUGGUGGCACGUGCCUGUAGUUCUAGCUACCUGGGAGGCUGAGGCAGGAGGAUCACUAGAGCUAAGGAAUUUGAGAUUACAGUAAGCUAUGAUCGUGUCACUCCAGCCUGAGUGACUAAGCAAGACCCUGUCUCAAAAAAAAAAGUCUAAUUAUGCUUCUUACUGCUCAAAACCAUGGUAGAUUUCUCUCUUGUCUUGCAUACAUUUUAUUUUAUUUUAUUUUAUUUUUUUUGAGACGGAGUCGCUCUGU
RNAcentral lists this long non-coding RNA (9504 nucleotides) under Homo sapiens (human). RNAcentral's name for it is "non-protein coding lnc-GOLGA4-4:3". Lineage: Eukaryota; Metazoa; Chordata; Mammalia; Primates; Hominidae. The record is from RNAcentral.